This 117-nucleotide non-coding RNA is filed under the name Schinkia azotoformans LMG 9581. RNAcentral's name for it is "Bacillus azotoformans LMG 9581 TPP riboswitch aptamer (THI element)". It matches the Rfam family "TPP riboswitch aptamer (THI element)". Rfam says of the family: Vitamin B(1) in its active form thiamin pyrophosphate (TPP) is an essential coenzyme that is synthesised by coupling of pyrimidine and thiazole moieties in bacteria. The record is from Rfam by way of RNAcentral. Lineage: Bacteria; Bacillati; Bacillota; Bacilli; Caryophanales; Bacillaceae.
AGCAAUAACUAGGGGAGUCCAAUGAGCUUGGGCUGAGAAAGAAACCGCGUUGAAGUUUCUUGACCCUUUGGACCUGAUCUGGAUCAUACCAGCGUAGGGAAGUUAACUUCUUCUUUU